This 253-nucleotide ribosomal RNA is filed under the name uncultured bacterium. Its description in RNAcentral is "partial 16S ribosomal RNA". It matches the Rfam family "Bacterial small subunit ribosomal RNA", at positions 524 to 776 of the family's 1533-position model. The record is from RNAcentral.
UACGGAGGGGACUAGCGUUGUUCGGAAUUACUGGGCGUAAAGGGCGCGUAGGCGGCUUAUCAAGUCAGGCGUGAAAUUCCCGGGCUCAACCUGGGGGCUGCGCUUGAUACUGAUUGGCUUGAAUGCGGGAGAGGAUAGUGGAAUUCCCAGUGUAGAGGUGAAAUUCGUAGAUAUUGGGAAGAACACCGGUGGCGAAGGCGGCGACCUGGUCCAUUACUGACGCUGAGGCGCGACAGCGUGGGGAGCAAACAGG